AACCUAGCACACCUGCGGUGUGUACCUGCGGAGGGAUCAUUAUUGAAUAAACUUGGUUGGGUUGAUGCUGGCUCCUAGGAGCAUGUGCACGCUCAUUCCAAUUUCAACCACCUGUGCACCUUGUGUAGAUCUGAACAACUCUCGGGGAAACUCGGUUAGAGGGAUUGCUGUGUGUAAAAACCAGCUUUCCUUGAGUUCAGAUCUAUGUCUUUAUAUACUCCAUAAGAAUGUAACGGAAUG
Molecule: unclassified non-coding RNA, 240 nt
Filed under: soil metagenome
Description: partial contains 5.8S ribosomal RNA, internal transcribed spacer 2, and large subunit ribosomal RNA
Source: RNAcentral